RNAcentral lists this ribosomal RNA (491 nucleotides) under uncultured bacterium. RNAcentral's name for it is "bacterial SSU rRNA". It matches the Rfam family "Bacterial small subunit ribosomal RNA", at positions 36 to 524 of the family's 1533-position model. The record is from RNAcentral.
UCUGGCGGCGUGCCUAUAAUGCAAGUCCAGCGGGUAUCGAAAGAUCCAGCGGCGGACGGGUGAGGAACACGUGGGGAAUCUGCCUAACAGACCGGAAUAACGCCUGGAAACGGGUGCUAAAGGCCGGAUAGGCGCAUGAGGCGCAUGCCUGAUGCGGGAAAGGAUGCUAUGGCAUCGAGGAGAGAGGACCCCGCGGCGCAUUAGCUAGUUGGUAGGGUAAAGGCCUACCAAGGCGACGAUGCGUAGCCGACCUGAGAGGGUGACCGGCCACGCUGGGACUGAGACACGGCCCAGACUCCUACGGGAGGCAGCAGUAGGGAAUCUUCCGCAAUGGGCGCAAGCCUGACGGAGCAACGCCGCGUGAGCGAGGAAGGCCUUCGGGUUGUAAAGCUCAGUCAAGGGGGAAGAGCGGCAAGGAGAGGGAAUGCUCUUUGCGAGACGGUACCCCAAGAGGAAGCCCCGGCAAACUACGUGCCAGCAGCCGCGGUAAU